RNAcentral lists this ribosomal RNA (468 nucleotides) under uncultured bacterium. RNAcentral's name for it is "partial 16S ribosomal RNA". It matches the Rfam family "Bacterial small subunit ribosomal RNA", at positions 28 to 523 of the family's 1533-position model. The record is from RNAcentral.
GAUGAACGCUGGCGGCGUGCCUAACACAUGCAAGUCGAGCGAUUCUCUUCGGAGAAGAGCGGCGGACGGGUGAGUAACGCGUGGGUAACCUGCCCUGUACACACGGAUAACAUACCGAAAGGUAUGCUAAUACGAGAUAAUAUACUUUUAUCGCAUGGUAGAAGUAUCAAAGCUUUUGCGGUACAGGAUGGACCCGCGUCUGAUUAGCUAGUUGGUAAGGUAACGGCUUACCAAGGCGACGAUCAGUAGCCGACCUGAGAGGGUGAUCGGCCACAUUGGAACUGAGACACGGUCCAAACUCCUACGGGAGGCAGCAGUGGGGAAUAUUGCACAAUGGGCGAAAGCCUGAUGCAGCAACGCCGCGUGAGCGAUGAAGGCCUUCGGGUCGUAAAGCUCUGUCCUCAAGGAAGAUAAUGACGGUACUUGAGGAGGAAGCCCCGGCUAACUACGUGCCAGCCGCCGCCGUAA